This 468-nucleotide ribosomal RNA is filed under the name uncultured bacterium. RNAcentral describes it as "partial 16S ribosomal RNA". It matches the Rfam family "Bacterial small subunit ribosomal RNA", at positions 28 to 507 of the family's 1533-position model. The record is from RNAcentral.
GACGAACGCUGGCGGCGUGCUUAACACAUGCAAGUCGAACGGAAAGGCCCUGCUUUUGUGGGGUGCUCGAGUGGCGAACGGGUGAGUAACACGUGAGUAACCUGCCCUUGACUUUGGGAUAACUUCAGGAAACUGGGGCUAAUACCGGAUAGGAGCUCCUGCUGCAUGGUGGGGGUUGGAAAGUUUCGGCGGUUGGGGAUGGACUCGCGGCUUAUCAGCUUGUUGGUGGGGUAGUGGCUUACCAAGGCUUUGACGGGUAGCCGGCCUGAGAGGGUGACCGGCCACAUUGGGACUGAGAUACGGCCCAGACUCCUACGGGCGGCAGCAGUGGGGAAUAUUGCACAAUGGGCGGAAGCCUGAUGCAGCAACGCCGCGUGCGGGAUGACGGGCAUCGGGUUGUAAACCGCUUUCGCCUGUGACGAAGCGGGCGUGACGGUAAUGGGUAAAGAAGCCACGGCUAACUACGUG